Molecule: ribosomal RNA, 512 nt
Filed under: Aethionectes sp. UNM KBMAesp659
Lineage: Eukaryota; Metazoa; Arthropoda; Insecta; Coleoptera; Dytiscidae
Description: partial 16S ribosomal RNA
Rfam family: Bacterial large subunit ribosomal RNA (bases 386-512)
Source: RNAcentral
GUCCUUUUGAAUAUUAUUUAAGGUUUGACCUGCCCACUGAGUAUUUAAAUGGCCGCAGUAAUUUGACUGUGCAAAGGUAGCAUAAUCAUUAGUUUUUUAAUUGAAAGCUUGUAUGAAAGGUUGGACGAAGUAAAAUCUGUCUCUAUUUAAUUUAAAUUAGAAUUUAAUUUUUAAGUUAAAAAGCUUAAAUUUUAUUAAAAGACGAGAAGACCCUAUAGAUCUUUAUAUUUUUUAUUAAUAAUUUUAAUUAAGAAUUUUUUAUUUAUUAUUGAAAAUAAUAUUUUAUUGGGGUAAUAAAAAGAUUAGUAUAAUUCUUUUAUUUUUAACCAUUAAUUAAUGAUUAAGUGAUCCAAUUUUUUUGAUUAAAAGAUUAAGUUACCUUAGGGAUAACAGCGUAAUUUUUUUUGAGAGUUCAUAUCGAUAAAAAAGUUUGCGACCUCGAUGUUGGAUUAAAAAUUAUCUUAGGUGCAGAAGUUUAAGAUUUUGGUCUGUUCGACCAUUAAAUUUUUACA